Molecule: ribosomal RNA, 480 nt
Filed under: uncultured soil bacterium
Lineage: Bacteria
Description: bacterial SSU rRNA
Rfam family: Bacterial small subunit ribosomal RNA
Source: RNAcentral
AGAAUCAACGCUGGCGGCGUGCCUCAGACAUGCAAGUCGAACGAUUAAACUUUCCUUCGGGAAAGAUAUAAAGUGGCGCACGGGUGAGUAACACGUAAGUAAUCUACCUUUGAGUGGGGAAUAACCCGGGGAAACCCGAGCUAAUACCGCAUAAUGCAGCGGCAUCGCAAGAUGACAGUUGUUAAAGGAGCAAUCCGCUUAAAGAGGAGCUUGCGGCAGAUUAGCUAGUUGGUAAGGUAAUGGCUUACCAAGGCUACGAUCUGUAACCGGUCUAAGAGGACGGUCGGUCACACUGACACUGAAUAACGGGUCAGACUCCUACGGGAGGCAGCAGUCGGGAAUUUGGGCAAUGGGCGAAAGCCUGACCCAGCAACGCCGCGUGAAGGAUGAAGUAUUUCGGUAUGUAAACUUCGAAAGAAUAGGAAGAAUAAAUGACGGUACUAUUUAUAAGGUCCGGCUAAACUACGUGUCAGCAGCCGC